GAUUAGCUAGUUGGUGAGGUAAAGGCUUACCAAGGCGACGAUCAGUAGCUGGUCUGAGAGGANGACCAGCCACACUGGGACUGAGACACGGCCCAGACUCCUACGGGAGGCAGCAGUGGGGAAUUUUGGACAAUGGGGGNAACCCUGAUCCAGCCAUGCCGCGUGAGUGAAGAAGGCCUUCGGGUUGUAAAGCUCUUUCAGCCGGAANGAAACGGUCACGGCUAAUACCUGUGACUANUGACGGUACCGGAAGAAGAAGCACCGGCUAACUACGUGCCAGCAGCCGCGGUAAUACGUAGGGUGCNAGCGUUAAUCGGAAUUACUGGGCGUAAAGCGUGCGCAGGCGGUUUUGUAAGUCAGAUGUGAAAUCCCCGGGCUUAACCUGGGAACUG
Molecule: ribosomal RNA, 392 nt
Filed under: uncultured beta proteobacterium
Lineage: Bacteria; Pseudomonadati; Pseudomonadota; Betaproteobacteria
Description: bacterial SSU rRNA
Rfam family: Bacterial small subunit ribosomal RNA
Source: RNAcentral